AUACGGAGGGUCCAAGCGUUAUCCGGAAUCAUUGGGUUUAAAGGGUCCGCAGGCGGUCAAUUAAGUCAGAGGUGAAAGCCCAUCGCUCAACGAUGGAACUGCCUUUGAUACUGGUUGACUUGAGUUAUACGGAAGUAGAUAGAAUAAGUAGUGUAGCGGUGAAAUGCAUAGAUAUUACUUAGAAUACCGAUUGCGAAGGCAGUCUACUACGUAUAUACUGACGCUGAGGGACGAAAGCGUGGGGAGCGAACAGGAUUAGAAACCCUAGUAGUCA
Molecule: ribosomal RNA, 274 nt
Filed under: uncultured bacterium
Lineage: Bacteria
Description: partial 16S ribosomal RNA
Rfam family: Bacterial small subunit ribosomal RNA
Source: RNAcentral